This 20-nucleotide small nuclear RNA is filed under the name Arabidopsis thaliana (thale cress). RNAcentral describes it as "snRNA_13626". The record is from RNAcentral. Lineage: Eukaryota; Viridiplantae; Streptophyta; Magnoliopsida; Brassicales; Brassicaceae.
ACUUUAAAUAGGUAGGACGU